AUUCCAGCUCCAAUAGCGUAUAUUAAAGUUGUUGCAGUUAAAAAGCUCGUAGUCGGAUUUUGGCAUCACGCCGAACUGUCUGCCGAUUGGUAAGUACGGUUUGGCGGGUGCUUCCUUCCGGAGGCUCGUUCCCUUCUUCAUUGAAGGGUUCGUUGGUUCCGGGUCUUUUACUUUGAGAAAAUUAGAGUGUUCAAAGCAGGCCUAUGCUCUGAAUAGGUUAGCAUGGAAUAAUAGAAUAGGACUUUGGUUCUAUUUUGUUGGUUUCUAGGACCGAUGUAAUGAUUAAUAGGGACAGUUGGGGACAUUUAUAUUCCAUGGCUAGAGGUGAAAUUCUUGGAUUCAUGGAAGAUAAACUACUGCGAAAGCAUUUGUCAAAGAUGUUUUCAUCG
RNAcentral lists this ribosomal RNA (389 nucleotides) under Picozoa sp. Its description in RNAcentral is "partial small subunit ribosomal RNA". It matches the Rfam family "Eukaryotic small subunit ribosomal RNA", at positions 582 to 975 of the family's 1831-position model. Lineage: Eukaryota; Picozoa. The record is from RNAcentral.